UGUUUUWCAAAAACAUCUCUUCUUGUUAGUUUUUGAGGUAUGGCCUGCCCACUGACUUUGUUGAAGGGCCGCGGUAUUUUGACCGUGCAAAGGUAGCAUAAUCAUUAGUUCUUUAAUUGUGAUCUGGUAUGAAUGGCUUGACGAGAUAUGAGCUGUCUUUGAGGUAUUUUUAAUUGAAUUUGGUUUUUGAGUUAAAAUUCUUAAAUGUUUUUAUGGGACGAGAAGACCCUAUAGAGUUUGACAUCUUUUCUGUUUUUGUAUGUUUGUUUUAAUUUUAUUUAAUGGUAAGGUUGUUUUGUUGGGGUGAUGGGAGAUAUUAUUUAACUUCUCUUUGGGUUUGUAUAUUUAUGUAUAAUGGUUUUUGAUCCAUUUAUUUUGAUUAUAAGAUUAAAUUACCUUAGGGAUAACAGCGUUAUCCUCCUUGAGAGUUCUUAUUGGCGGGGGGGUUUGCGACCUCGAUGUUGGAUUAAGAUGAAUUUUUGGUGCAGGAGCUGAAGUGAUUAGGUCUGUUCGACCUUUAAAAUCUUACGUGAUCUGAGU
RNAcentral lists this ribosomal RNA (540 nucleotides) under Nasutitermitinae sp. ENT-MG072. RNAcentral describes it as "partial small subunit ribosomal RNA". It matches the Rfam family "Bacterial large subunit ribosomal RNA", at positions 1801 to 2610 of the family's 2925-position model. Lineage: Eukaryota; Metazoa; Arthropoda; Insecta; Blattodea; Termitidae. The record is from RNAcentral.